Molecule: long non-coding RNA, 608 nt
Filed under: Anser brachyrhynchus (Pink-footed goose)
Lineage: Eukaryota; Metazoa; Chordata; Aves; Anseriformes; Anatidae
Description: lncRNA (ENSABRG00000021906.1)
Source: RNAcentral
CCUUAAUUGGGGGAACUGCUGUGUUUGUUUCCCUCCUCCCCUGCAACAUUGAUCCCCAGCAGUGCGAGGAUUAGCAAGUGGCCAAAUGCAUCGGGAGGUGACCUUGCUCUGCCGUAAGCACUGGGCUGCCACGGGGAAGCAGGCAGCAUCCCCAUGGACCAGACAGUUUUACAACGUCAGAAGAAUGGAAGAGCUGCAAGGCAUGCACGCUCAAGAUGCUGUGCUCCUGGAAAGCUUUGGAUAGGCUCCAGGCAACAUUUGGUGGCAAAGAAAGAUGAAGGUCUCGAGGGGAAAAAAAAAAUCAAGUCUUCAUCCUACAACCUUCCUGUUCCUGCGAGCUGGGAAUGUUGUCGAAGGACAGGAAAUGUGUGUUCUUGCAGUCGUGUCUUGCUGUGGGAGAUGGACACUUUUUAAAAUGCGAGGGAAGAGUGGCUUUGCUGCGAGUGCACAUUUGUGGCUGCUGGUGCCGAGAUGAUGGAAGCAUUGAUCCAGCCUGCUGCGUGACCCCGUUCAGCACGGCGGUGUGCUGUAUUGGCAGCAUUGUUUGUCUCCAGAGCUACUCUAAGCCAGGAUCACAGGACAGAUUGAAUCGGAGGAAAACCUUGUAG